GCCCAUGUAGCUCAGUUGGUAGAGCACAUCCUUGGUAAGGAUGAGGUCAUCAGUUCAAUCCUGAUCAUGGGCUCCA
This 76-nucleotide transfer RNA is filed under the name Pseudomonadales bacterium. RNAcentral's name for it is "tRNA-Thr". It matches the Rfam family "tRNA". From Rfam's summary of the family: Transfer RNA (tRNA) molecules are approximately 80 nucleotides in length. Lineage: Bacteria; Pseudomonadati; Pseudomonadota; Gammaproteobacteria; Pseudomonadales. The record is from RNAcentral. RNAcentral also lists the same sequence under 14 other names.